This 328-nucleotide ribosomal RNA is filed under the name uncultured bacterium. RNAcentral describes it as "bacterial SSU rRNA". It matches the Rfam family "Bacterial small subunit ribosomal RNA", at positions 568 to 898 of the family's 1533-position model. The record is from RNAcentral.
AGCGCAGGCGGGUCGGUAAGUCACUGGUGAAAUUCUCGGGCUCAACCCGAGGACUGCCAGUGAUACUGCUGAUCUUGAGUGCAGAAGAGGUUGAUGGAAUUCUUGGUGUAGCGGUGAAAUGCGUAGAUAUCAAGAAGAACACCGAUGGCGAAGGCAGUCAACUGGUCUGUAACUGACGCUCAUGCUCGAAAGCGUGGGGAUCAAACAGGAUUAGAUACCCUGGUAGUCCACGCCCUAAACGAUGGAUACUCGAUGUCGGCCCGCAAGGGUCGGUGUCUAAGCUAACGCAUUAAGUAUCCCACCUUGGAAGUACGAUCGCAAGGUUGAA